This 467-nucleotide ribosomal RNA is filed under the name uncultured Alphaproteobacteria bacterium. Its description in RNAcentral is "bacterial SSU rRNA". It matches the Rfam family "Bacterial small subunit ribosomal RNA", at positions 9 to 524 of the family's 1533-position model. The record is from RNAcentral. Lineage: Bacteria; Pseudomonadati; Pseudomonadota; Alphaproteobacteria.
GAGUUUGAUCUUGGCUCAGAGCGAACGCUGGCGGCAGGCUUAACACAUGCAAGUCGAACGGACCCUUCGGGGUUAGUGGCGGACGGGUGAGUAACACGUGGGAACGUGCCCUUAGGUUCGGAACAACACAGGGAAACUUGUGCUAAUACCGGAUGUGCCCUUCGGGGGAAAGAUUUAUCGCCUUUGGAGCGGCCCGCGUCUGAUUAGCUAGUUGGUGAGGUAAAGGCUCACCAAGGCUACGAUCAGUAGCUGGUCUGAGAGGAUGGCCAGCCACAUUGGGACUGAGACACGGCCCAAACUCCUACGGGAGGCAGCAGUGGGGAAUCUUGCGCAAUGGGCGAAAGCCUGACGCAGCCAUGCCGCGUGGAUGAUGAAGGUCUUAGGAUUGUAAAAUCCUUUCAGCGGGACGAUAAUGACGGUACCGGUGAGGAAGCACCGGCUAACUCCGUGCCAGCCGCCGCCGUAAG